Molecule: ribosomal RNA, 471 nt
Filed under: uncultured Thiobacillus sp.
Lineage: Bacteria; Pseudomonadati; Pseudomonadota; Betaproteobacteria; Nitrosomonadales; Thiobacillaceae
Description: bacterial SSU rRNA
Rfam family: Bacterial small subunit ribosomal RNA
Source: RNAcentral
AAAUUGACGGGGACCCGCACAAGCGGUGGAUGAUGUGGAUUAAUUCGAUGCAACGCGAAGAACCUUACCUACCCUUGACAUGUCCGGAACUUGCCAGAGAUGGCUUGGUGCCCGAAAGGGAAUCGGAACACAGGUGCUGCAUGGCUGUCGUCAGCUCGUGUCGUGAGAUGUUGGGUUAAGUCCCGCAACGAGCGCAACCCUUAUCAUUAGUUGCUACGCAAGGGCACUCUAAUGAGACUGCCGGUGACAAACCGGAGGAAGGUGGGGAUGACGUCAAGUCCUCAUGGCCCUUAUGGGUAGGGCUUCACACGUCAUACAAUGGUCGGUACAGAGGGUUGCCAAGCCGCGAGGUGGAGCCAAUCCCAGAAAGCCGAUCGUAGUCCGGAUUGUUCUCUGCAACUCGAGAGCAUGAAGUCGGAAUCGCUAGUAAUCGCGGAUCAGCAUGUCGCGGUGAAUACGUUCCCGGGUCUU